GCCAGCAGCGGGGCGAAUAAUGCAUUAAGAUCUUGGGGAAAUUGGGAAAUACAAAUGUCAUGGCAGACCGAAAAGGAAGAAUCCAACAGAAAAGCAUACUCUGCCCGCCGUUGUUUUUCUUUUACCAUGUGGGAAGCGGAAGCGGGAAAAGAAUCCCAAAUAAACUCAAGAAAAACUGAAUGUUUUGCAUUGACGGCGCACACCGAAGUUGCAGAGCCACACAAGCACGUGCGACACGAGACCUAUUCCCCCCAUCUCCAUCUCAUCAGGUGCCCAGCCAGGUAUAAUGACGUUGUUCCUGCCAAAUCUUUGAUUAUUUUUGGACAUGUCAACCCUUCUCGUCUGUUCGCCUAAUUUGCUUUUGAUGCGGCAGAGUAGGAGGACUGGGGAUUGGGAUACGGUUCUAUAGCUAGAACAGAACUGAUUUAUAUUUAGCACUUCAUACUGGCGGGCGCUUGCCAAACUGUCUGAAAUAUGUCCAUCAAAGUGUUGACAGUUUGGCAGCAAUUGGCGGUACGCAGAACAGAUGCAUUUGUUAUUUACGGAAGA
This is a long non-coding RNA of Drosophila guanche, 549 nucleotides long. RefSeq lists it as uncharacterized. The transcript has 3 exons. NCBI's taxonomy places the organism in Eukaryota, Metazoa, Arthropoda, Insecta, Diptera, Drosophilidae. The record is from RefSeq and is a predicted model, not a curated record.